UAAACACAUGCUGUCAUAGAGGUUGAAGGCUAUUCACCUGAUAGAGGAAACAAACAAGAAACAAGGAUGCUUUAUCAGGCCUUACCUGCUGGCAGGUCACUUUGCUGCCAUCAUCUCUGUAGAAACCAUUAAGGUGACUGGAUCAAGGCUCUGACUUAAGCUGUUAUUGGGGCCUUCAUCCAUGGUUGGCAGCUCAUCCUCCUCAUCCUGGCGUUUGUGUCUUUCCUCACUGAGGCCGAUUUCAUUCAAAUGAGACCAGCGGCAGGACAUUUCCUCUGAAGACCAGAGGAAGACAGAAUAGCCUAUAAAGGAGGAACAAGCCACAACUUCACCCCCCUGCAAGUAUUUGUGCACUUGUAU
Thunnus maccoyii (southern bluefin tuna) is the source of this 360-nucleotide long non-coding RNA. RefSeq lists it as uncharacterized. The transcript has 4 exons. NCBI's taxonomy places the organism in Eukaryota, Metazoa, Chordata, Actinopteri, Scombriformes, Scombridae. The record is from RefSeq and is a predicted model, not a curated record.